GGAUGUCUAUGCUUGGCUUGAAGGCUUCUUAUGGUUUAUGAAACCUUUUUCUUAAAGGAAGGUCAUGUAUACCCCAUGACACAAAACUAAAAAUACGGUCCUAAGAGAUAUUUAUAGGAGUAGCUUUUUCGGUAUAUCACGAUUCAAUCAAGAUGGCCAGGGGCUUUAAGAAAAUUAUCAAUGAUUAUGAACAAAUUUAGAUACUACAAAGAUU
RNAcentral lists this long non-coding RNA (214 nucleotides) under Lathyrus oleraceus (garden pea). RNAcentral describes it as "Pisum sativum (pea) long non-coding RNA (PSAT_LNC000036)". Lineage: Eukaryota; Viridiplantae; Streptophyta; Magnoliopsida; Fabales; Fabaceae. The record is from RNAcentral.